AGUGUAGGCGGCUACGUAAGUCGGAUGUGAAAGCCCCGGGCUCAACCUGGGAAUUGCAUUCGAUACUGCGUGGCUAGAGUUUGGUAGAGGUAAGUGGAAUUCCGGGUGUAGCGGUGAAAUGCGUAGAUAUCCGGAGGAACAUCAGUGGCGAAGGCGGCUUACUGGACCAAAACUGACGCUGAGGCUCGAAAGCGUGGGGAGCAAACA
This 207-nucleotide ribosomal RNA is filed under the name uncultured bacterium. RNAcentral's name for it is "partial 16S ribosomal RNA". It matches the Rfam family "Bacterial small subunit ribosomal RNA", at positions 568 to 774 of the family's 1533-position model. The record is from RNAcentral.